GUGCUCACUUCGGCAGCACAUAUACUAAAAUUGGAAAGAUACAGAGAAGAUUUUCAUGGCCCCUGUGUAAGGGUGGCACGCAAAUUCAUGACGCGUUCCAUAUUUUU
This is a small nuclear RNA of Lynx canadensis (Canada lynx), 107 nucleotides long. NCBI's taxonomy places the organism in Eukaryota, Metazoa, Chordata, Mammalia, Carnivora, Felidae. The record is from Ensembl.